Molecule: ribosomal RNA, 253 nt
Filed under: uncultured bacterium
Lineage: Bacteria
Description: partial 16S ribosomal RNA
Rfam family: Bacterial small subunit ribosomal RNA
Source: RNAcentral
UACGGAGGGUGCAAGCGUUAUCCGGAUUCACUGGGUUUAAAGGGUGCGUAGGCGGACAGGUAAGUCAGUGGUGAAAUCUCUGAGCUUAACUCAGAAACUGCCGUUGAUACUAUCUGUCUUGAAUAUCCUGGAGGUAAGCGGAAUAUGUCAUGUGGCGGUGAAAUGCUUAGAUAUGACAUAGAACACCGAUAGCGAAGGCAGCUUACUACAGGAUGAUUGACGCUGAGGCACGAAAGCGUGGGGAGCAAACAGG